GAUCAGCCGGUCUCCGAAUGCANUAGAUUUUAGUUUGAUCAUGGCUCAGAAUCACGCUGGUGGCGUGCCUAACACAUGCAAGUCGAGCGAGAAAAGGGGAGCAAUCUCCUGAGUACAGCGGCGCACGGGUGAGUAACACGUGGGUAAUCUGCCCUGGAGUGGGGAAUAACACCGGGAAACCGGUGCUAAUUCCGCAUACGAUCACGAGGUCUGCGGAUUUUGUGAUGAGAGGAGCAAUUCGCUCUAGGAGGAGCCCGCGGCUGAUUAGCUAGUUGGUGAGGUAAUGGCUCACCAAGGCAACGAUCAGUAUCCGGUCUGAGAGGACGGUCGGACACACUGGAACUGAGACACGGUCCAGACUCCUACGGGAGGCAGCAGUGGGGAAUUUUUGGCAAUGGGGGCAACCCUGACCAAGCAACGCCGCGUGGGUGAUGAAGUCUCUUGGGACGUAAAACCCUUUCGACGGGGACGAAGCCGCAAGGUUGACGGUACCCGUAGAAGAAGCCCCGGCUAACUCCGUGCCAGCAGCCGCGGUAAUACGGGGGGGGGCGAGCGUUGUUCGCGAAUUACUGGGGCCGUAAAGGCGCCGUAAAGCCGGUCACGCCUAACAGUUGGAUUGUUGAAAACUCUUNGGCUCAAACCCCAUGAACUGCAUUCAAAAACUGGCGGGCUAAAGUUCCUGGAAGCGGGGGUAGCCGGGAAAUUCCGGUGUACCGGGAAAUGCGUUAAANUUUCCACGCAGGAACACCGGUGGCGAAAGGCGGCNACCCUGGACAGAAAACGACGCUAAGGCAAAAGCAGGGAGGCAACCGGANUANCACUACCCCNGUGCUCACCCUAAAANGANAGCGGGUCCAUCUCGGAGNAACACCGUGAAUNGAGANAAAC
This 888-nucleotide ribosomal RNA is filed under the name uncultured bacterium. RNAcentral describes it as "bacterial SSU rRNA". It matches the Rfam family "Bacterial small subunit ribosomal RNA", at positions 1 to 856 of the family's 1533-position model. The record is from RNAcentral.